This 586-nucleotide ribosomal RNA is filed under the name uncultured bacterium. RNAcentral's name for it is "partial 16S ribosomal RNA". It matches the Rfam family "Bacterial small subunit ribosomal RNA", at positions 355 to 1375 of the family's 1533-position model. The record is from RNAcentral.
UGGGGAAUUUUGGACAAUGGGCGAAAGCCUGAUCCAGCAAUGCCGCGUGUGUGAAGAAGGCCUUCGGGUUGUAAAGCACUUUUGUCCGGAAAGAAAUCCUUGGCUCUAAUACAGUCGGGGGAUGACGGUACCGGAAGAAUAAGCACCGGCUAACUACGUGCCAGCAGCCGUGGUAAUACGUAGGGUGCAAGCGUUAAUCGGAAUUACUGGGCGUAAAGCGUGCGCAGGCGGUUUGCUAAGACCGAUGUGAAAUCCCCGGGCUCAACCUGGGAACUGCAUUGGUGACUGGCAGGCUAGAGUAUGGCAGAGGGGGGUAGAAUUCCACGUGUAGCAGUGAAAUGCGUAGAGAUGUGGAGGAAUACCGAUGGCGAAGGCAGCCCCCUGGGCCAAUACUGACGCUCAUGCACGAAAGCGUGGGGAGCAAACAGGAUUAGAUACCCUGGUAGUCCACGCCCUAAACGAUGUCAACUAGUUGUUGGGGGAUUCAUUUCCUUAGUAACGUAGCUAACGCGUGAAGUUGACCGCCUGGGGAGUACGGUCGCAAGAUUAAAACUCAAAUGAAUUGACGGGGUCAUAGCUGUUUCCU